UGCAACGGGCACGUUCAGUGGGCUGCGCGGCCGUUGCGAUGAGCUGCAUUGCUGAUUCUUCGCUUGCCCGAGACUGGCAAUUGUCGAGCGGGUUGCAUCCGUUGUUACGUUGCCUGAAGACAGUAGUAAAUGUGAUUUGCAGAUAGCACGAAUGCCAGCAAUCGUGCAACGUAGGAGUUCAAAGGGAGACAUGGUCAGUGUGGUUGGGUGCAAGCAACGUGUCAUUGUGGUUAGAAAAAAUGAAUUGUGAUUUAACUGUCAAAGCCGGAAUGUUUAAAGCAUACAUCCCGCCCAAGGCAUGCUGGGAUGAUCUCCUAUCAGGCAGCUUGGAAACUUCCAGACGCCGAUAUGCCUUAUGUUCGGUGCAGCCCAGGUUAUGAACUGUCAAGUGGAAUAUGCCCCUUAAGGAAAACGAGUAUAUUCAAGCUCCACGUGAAAUGCCAAGUAUGGUCACUGAAAAAUGAUCGACUGUCCAGCGAGGAGAUUGCGGAAUCAGCAGCUGACAUAUUGACUGAUGAAACAUGAUGGUGCGUGCAGCAAGAGAGGGUUUGACUGCAGAUCCUGACCACCUGCUCCUGUAAAUUUGUACCAACCACAGGCGAAAACAAGGAGAAACGCUUUGAAUACCUGCGGUCUUCUAUCAGCUAGACAAGUCCCUGAAGCUAUAAAUCAUUAAACUUUGAUGUAUUCUGCUUUGGAGGUAUAAA
Molecule: long non-coding RNA, 707 nt
Organism: Rhipicephalus sanguineus (brown dog tick)
Lineage: Eukaryota; Metazoa; Arthropoda; Arachnida; Ixodida; Ixodidae
Exons: 5
Source: RefSeq, a predicted model, not a curated record